Molecule: ribosomal RNA, 456 nt
Filed under: uncultured bacterium
Lineage: Bacteria
Description: SSU rRNA
Rfam family: Bacterial small subunit ribosomal RNA
Source: RNAcentral
UCGGCUUAGAGUUUGAUCCUGGCUCAGAUUGAACGCUGNCGGCAUGCCUUACACAUGCAAGUCGAACGGUAGAGUAGCAAUACUCGAGAGUGGCGAACGGGUGAGUAAUAUAUCGGAACGUGCCCAGUCGUGGGGGAUAACGUAGAGAAAUUUACGCUAAUACCGCAUACGAUCUAUGGAUGAAAGCGGGGGAUCGCAAGACCUCGCGCGAUUGGAGCGGCUGAUAUCAGAUUAGGUUGUUGGUGAGGUAAAAGCUCACCAAGCCGACGAUCUGUAGCUGGUUUGAGAGAACGACCAGCCACACUGGGACUGAGACACGGCCCAGACUCCUACGGGAGGCAGCAGUGGGGAAUUUUGGACAAUGGGCGAAAGCCUGAUCCAGCAAUGCCGCGUGCAGGAAGAAGGCCUUCGGGUUGUAAACUGCUUUUGUACGGAACGAAACGGCCUUUUCUAAUA